Molecule: long non-coding RNA, 383 nt
Filed under: Physcomitrium patens
Lineage: Eukaryota; Viridiplantae; Streptophyta; Bryopsida; Funariales; Funariaceae
Description: long non-coding RNA (PPAT_LNC011418)
Source: RNAcentral
CAGGAAAAGUAGUUAUCAUCUAUAAUAUAGGAGUUGGUAUCUCGAGGUAGUAUAAGGAGGAUGGGAGAGGGGAAGAAAAUGCCAGACUGUGAGAGUUGUGAGCUGGGGUAAGCUUGGUGCUACCUCUUUUCUUUUGUUUGUUAUUUUCUUUGAAUAAGAGGAUUGAAAGUUUCUGAAUAUUGUGAAGUGAAUUAUGGAAAUGUGAUUGGUAUUAUUUGAGAAGAAGAAAGAUUGAAUGCUGAAAUCUGAUUGUAGUUCAGCUGAGAGAAUGAGCCUAUGUUUGUGUGAAACACUGUAAUGUGAAUGGCAGCUCUGUGUGAAGAAUUCCAGAGAUUGGAACGAGGGUAAUUGUGUACUGAAAGCUGUGAGGGCACAGUAUUACA